Molecule: ribosomal RNA, 466 nt
Filed under: uncultured bacterium
Lineage: Bacteria
Description: partial 16S ribosomal RNA
Rfam family: Bacterial small subunit ribosomal RNA
Source: RNAcentral
AUGAACGCUGGCGGCGUGCUUAACACAUGCAAGUCGAACGGAAAGGCCCAAGCUUGCUUGGGUACUCGAGUGGCGAACGGGUGAGUAACACGUGGGUGAUCUGCCCUGCACUUCGGGAUAAGCCUGGGAAACUGGGUCUAAUACCGGAUAGGACCACUUCUUGGAUGUUGUGGUGGAAAGUUUUUUCGGUGUGGGAUGAGCUCGCGGCCUAUCAGCUUGUUGGUGGGGUAAUGGCCUACCAAGGCGUCGACGGGUAGCCGGCCUGAGAGGGUGUACGGCCACAUUGGGACUGAGAUACGGCCCAGACUCCUACGGGAGACAGCAGUGGGGAAUAUUGCACAAUGGGCGCAAGCCUGAUGCAGCGACGCCGCGUGGGGGAUGACGGCCUUCGGGUUGUAAACUCCUUUCGCUAGGGACGUAGCGUUUUGUGACGGUACCUGGAGAAGAAGCACCGGCUAACUACGUG